GUAGCUGAUCUUUUUGUUACAAAAAAGAUAUGUGCACACCUCGAUUUCCAAAUCUUACACCAUGUGCACUUUUUGUAGAUUGACUUUUGUUGGUCUAUGUCUUUUCUUAAACACACACCUAAAAGUUAAGAAUGUUGGGACAUGAAGCUUUUUGCUUUUAUAAUAAUAUAACUUUCAACAACGGAUCUCUUGGCUCUUGCAUCGAUGAAGAACGCAGCGAAAUGCGAUAAGUAAUGUGAAUUGCAGAAUUCAGUGAAUCAUCGAAUCUUUGAACGCACCUUGCACCCCUUGGUAUUCCGAGGGGUAUGCCUGUUUGAGUGUCAUUAAAUUAUCAAACAUUCUUCAUUUAUCUGAAGAGGUUUGGAUUUUGAAGUGUUGCUGGCUUUUCAAAGUUGGCUCCUUUUAAAUACAUUAGCUAUGCAGAUAAGCUUUUGGUUUGAUAAAUAUCUAUGCUAAUGGCUUUGAAGUGAAUGUUAGCUUCUAAUUUUUGCUUUAUGAUUUGACCUCAAAUCAGGUAGGACUACCCGCUGAACUUAAGCAUAUCAAUAA
RNAcentral lists this ribosomal RNA (549 nucleotides) under Hygrophorus laurae var. decipiens. Its description in RNAcentral is "eukaryotic LSU rRNA". The stretch from base 170 to 323 matches the Rfam family "5.8S ribosomal RNA". Lineage: Eukaryota; Fungi; Basidiomycota; Agaricomycetes; Agaricales; Hygrophoraceae. The record is from RNAcentral.